GACGAACGCUGGCGGCGUGCUUAACACAUGCAAGUCGAACGGAAAGGCCUUGUCGGAGGUCCUCGAGCGGCGAACGGGUGAGUAACACGUGGGCGAUCUGCCCUUCACUCUGGGAUAAGCCUGGGAAACUGGGUCUAAUACCGGAUAGGACCGCACUAUAGUGUGGGUGGGGGAAAGUGUUUUCGGUGUAGGAUGAGCCCGCGGUCUAUCAGCUUGUGGGUGGGGUAAUGGCUGACCAAGGCGGCGACGGGUAACCGGACUGAGGGGCUGGUCGGCCACACUGAGUCUGAGAUGCGGCCGAGGUUCCGACGGUUGGGCGAAGUGGGGAAUCUUGCCCAAUGGGCGCCACCCUGGUGAAGAGACGCUGCGUGGGGUAUGACUGCCUUCGGGUUGAAAACCCCUUGCGCCAGGGACGAAGCGUUUUGUGACGGUACCUGGAGAAGAAGCACCGGCUAACUACGUG
This 463-nucleotide ribosomal RNA is filed under the name uncultured bacterium. RNAcentral's name for it is "partial 16S ribosomal RNA". It matches the Rfam family "Bacterial small subunit ribosomal RNA", at positions 28 to 507 of the family's 1533-position model. The record is from RNAcentral.